Molecule: unclassified non-coding RNA, 5019 nt
Filed under: Limulus polyphemus (Atlantic horseshoe crab)
Lineage: Eukaryota; Metazoa; Arthropoda; Merostomata; Xiphosura; Limulidae
Description: membrane-associated guanylate kinase, WW and PDZ domain-containing protein 1-like, transcript variant X3
Source: RNAcentral
CUUUUGAAUUUCAGGACAGUAAACGUGAGUUUCCAAUGUUUUCAAUUUGUGUCAAAUUUUUACAAAGAGAUACAGGUUGAAAUGUAUUUAAUACUAAAAUUUGAAACAUUUUGUUUAUUUUUUGAAGUGGUAUACAGUGAUAAUGAUGAUGAUAAGUGGUGAACAUAUGAUACUUUUAAAUGUUAUAUAUUCAGCACUCAACCUGGCGUCAACGGUGAGUUGUGACUCCAGGGAGAUUAGGCUUAAAGCUGACUGCCAUGUCGGUUGUUCUCAUCCUUCGAAGCGAGUAACGCUUUUAACGUGACGUUAAGUUAUACUUGUAGGUUAGAACACGGUAAUAGGCCUAAAGUUUGCACCAUAUUUAUAUAUAUCAUAUAUCAAUUUCUCUUUGGGCCAUCUUUGGAAAACAUCCUAAUUUCGUACCAGAUAACUGUUUAUGUACCAUAUGUUUUGGAAGAAUUAUCGUGUGGUUUUUACUAUGAUAGAAUCGAUUCAAUAAUGUCGAAACCAGCGCUUAAACGGCCGGUCACUCCUAACUCGGUGCGGACGGAGACAACAAAUACAGGGUUGCCCGUGUCUGGUCAGAUGAAAAGCUAUCAGCAUUGGAGCCAGACUGUUUAUGAAAGUCUUGUAGGUACAGGACCCGACGGUAUCUUAAACUUAUCAAUUGAAGGAGGUUCAGAUAAUGGCGAAUUUGCUUUCAUCGGACCACUUGAUCAAGAUAGGGUUACAUAUAUUGAUGGGUUUGUUGAAGAAGGGGACAUUGUUUUGGAAGUACAAGGACAGAAAGUUGCAGGCUACACACAAAGGGAUGUUGUUGCUUGGUUGAAUCAUUGCUGUAGAAAUGGAAAUCCAGUCUCUAUUAAAGCAGCAAAAGCGGGGUACCUAACCAGAGAUCUCCGCCAGUACCUGAACACCCGUUUUCAGAAAGGUUCUGUAGAUCAUGAUCUUCAGAACACCAUCAGAGACAAUCUCUACCUCCGUACAGUACCUUGCACUACAAGACCUCCAAGGCCAGGAGAAGUUAAUGGAAUAGAUUAUACAUUCCUUACACCUGAAGAAUUCAUUGCCCUAGAGAAAAGUGGAAAUUUAUUAGAAAGUGGAAUUUAUGAUGGGAAGCAUUAUGGCACUCCUAAGCCAGCUCCCUCAGCUUCUGCUCUCUUUUCUGACUCUUCUCUUCGGAUUGACCAUCCUGUGGCACGCAAUCAUUAUGGCACUCCCAAACCCCCCAGAGAGAGUCCCAUGUCUAUGCCACGACGAACAAAUUCCAUCGGAAAUACUGGCAGUGUUGUUCUUCCUGGUGCACACCCUUCUUCUGAAGGAAAGAGACGACGAAAUCGUUCUAAUGUAGAAGCGAUGGCAGCCAAAAACAUGGAUCCCAUAGAAGCAGCAGAUUAUCCUCUCUUAUCAAAUCAGAAUGCGAGAUCAUCUACACCUCAAUCUUCAAAAAGUGGAUACAGAAACUCCAGUAACAUGGAUCAUAAUGAUUCUGUAACUGAUCUUGGUCCUCUACCUGACAACUGGGAAAAGGCCUAUACAGAAACUGGAGAAAUAUAUUUUAUAGAUCACAACCAUGGCACAUCUCAGUGGUUAGACCCUCGGUUAGCUAGAAUACAAAAGACAGCUAUUGAAGAAUGUGACGAAGAUGAACUUCCUUAUGGUUGGGAAAAAAUUGAUGACCCCCACUAUGGAACCUACUUUAUAGAUCAUGUAAAUAGAAGAACACAGUAUGAAAACCCAGUUUUACAGGCAAAACGUGGGACAAAUGAUGGGUUAGAUCUCAGUAGUAGACGAGAGCGAGAAGACAUUCCACGCUCUAGGCCACCACCUUUACGUGACGAUUACAGAGUGGACAGUGCCAAUUCUUCCGUGCAUCAUAGCCAGGGUCCAACUAACAGAAGUACAACUGGUCGUAGACUACCUUAUGUCUUUACCUCCAACCCUGCCGAACUUAGAGGGGAGGUUCUUCGUACAUCACUAGUGAAGAGUACUCGAGGAUUUGGUUUCACUAUUGUUGGAGGAGAUAAUGCAGAAGAAUUUUUACAGAUUAAAAGUGUUGUUCCAAAUGGUCCUGCUUGGAAGGAUGGGAAACUUCAAACUGGGGAUGUCCUGGUAUUCAUGGAUGACAAGUGUGUUCUAGGAUUUACACAUCAGGAUAUGGUGGAACUCUUUCAGUCCAUACCACCUGGAAACACUGUGCACUUAGAAGUUUGCAGAGGAUAUCCUUUACCAUUUGAUCCCAAUGAUCCCAACACAGAAAUAGUGACCACAGUUGCUGUGACAUCUAGUAACACACAAUAUGCUGAUGGUCAGAGUAUGUACUCUUCUGGCCAAGGAGGAACAAAAAUGGACAACUCUCGACUUUCAGGAGAUCCUGGAGAGGUAGAAUCAAUGGGCCGAUCUUCAAAGUCAAUGCCUGACCUUAGCACGGGUCAGGUUGACCACCAACAUCCUCAAAGACAUAAUAGUGCAGACAUUCUAAGCCCUAGUGGAGCAGACAACACUCCUGAUAUCCUGGACUUCAACCCUCAAAGUCCACACAAACCAGAAUUUUUAACAGUAGAGAUAGUAAAAGGAAGUGGAGGAUUUGGUUUUACAAUUGCAGAUAGUGCCUAUGGACAGAAAGUUAAAAAAAUUCUGGAUUGGCCACGAUGUCAGCUGUUACAAGAAGGUGACAUUUUAGUUGAAAUUAACAAUCUGGAUGUUCGUGGACUUUCUCAUGCUGAUGUAGUGCAAGUACUGAAAGAGUGUCCCAGUGGGGAUCAGGCUCGCAUCACUAUGCAGCGAGGAGGGAUUGCCUCACCUAUUAAGGGAAAGGGGAAGGCAUCAAAGAUAAAGUCCCCUGAUGAUCCAAGUGGCAUUCGAAAAUCAACAACUAGCCCUGCCUCUCACUCCAUGCAUGCUAAUUCUUCACAAGGCCAUCUUCCUUCUAUUCCUGGAGCAUAUCGAAGUAAAACUCCAACAGCUGACCUCUACAGUUCCAGAGACAAAGAAGCCAUCUCAGUUAACCGACCAAAAACUCCACUAGUUGAUACCAGGAACUGGAUUAGAUCACCAAGCAGUGAAAUAUCUUCAUCCCAGCAAGAAUCCUCCAGGUUACCCUCCACUGGUUCAGGAAAUGUGCCAAAUGUGAGAGGGAUUGGUGAUACAAGUAAUACUUCUUUUGGUAGAAAUGAAUCUUACUCAGGGUUGUUAAAAGUCAUGGAUCAGAGUGGCUCAUCUAGGGCUAUUCCUGAGAAGUCUUGGUAUAGUGACCAGAGUCGAGAACCACUUUGGAACUAUCACAGCUUCAGGGAGUCUGGAGGUUCAGGCAUGAAUACAAGUGAGGGAGACAGAAAACAGGAAAUGCUUUAUGGGUAUACAUCCCGUGUCAGUGGAGAUCUGUACAGAGAUAUGGGGCCAGCUUUCAGAAAUCCCAUUUAUUCUCAUAGUCCUGGUACUCGAAGUGAAAGAACAGAGAAUGAGUCUUUCUCUGCUUUGCCAUAUAAUACUAGAACUAACAUAGGCUACCUUCAUGGUUAUGGUGAUAUAGAAGACUCUUAUAGAGACAAUCAGGAUCUCAAUUCUGUACUUAACCACAGUAAAUCAAAUAAUAACAGAGGGGGUUUGGGUUAUUCUCCAUAUGGUACUAGCCAUGGUUACAGUAGAACUUUGUAUCCAAGCAAUGGAAAUAUUUCAGGAGAAUUACCACCUGGAAUUAGCCCACAUGACCCUUUACAGACUCCUUCUGGUAAUGAAAUGAGUUCUGUCUACUUAACUCCUCCAUCUUCCUACUACAUUGCACCAAAUAACUCUAGAGCAGGCUCUCAGUAUGACAGUCUGACUCGACGGAAACACAGUACGUCUUUUGAACACGAGCAGCCUGCAGCUGUCUCAUUGAAUCACGUACCAAGAGAUUCCAGGUCCACCAAUAGUAGCCUCAGUCCUAACCCAUAUGGCACAAUGGGUCCAAGACCACCACCAGUUGGCCGGACCCCUGAUUGUCUAGAAAUGACUGUAACACUUGUGAGGCAAGAAAGUGGUUUUGGUUUCCGUAUUGUUGGAGGGACAGAAGAAGGUUCACAGGUAUCUAUUGGUCAUAUUGUACCAGGUGGAGCAGCAGAUCUAGAUGGACGACUUCGUUCAGGUGAUGAAAUAGUCUCUGUUGACAACCAAGUAGUCCUUAAUACGUCACAUCAUCAUGUAGUUCAGUUAAUGGGGAAUGCUGCACUAAAUGGCAGGGUAACAUUAGGGCUGAGAAGAAGACACUCGUCUUUAGAUCCCUUAAACCACCACAAAUCAACUGAAAACAUAUAUCCAUAUGACAUAACAGUGAAAAGAAAGGAGAAUGAAGGAUUUGGAUUUGUCAUAAUAUCUUCAGUUAGCAAAGCAGGAUCAACAAUAGGUAGGAUUAUUGAAGGAAGUCCAGCUGAACGUUGUGUCCAACUCCAUGUUGGAGACCGCAUAUUAGCUGUGAAUGGCAUAAGCAUCUUAAACAUGCAUCAUGGUGAGAUUGUGAAUCUGAUUAAAGAUUCUGGAUACUCUGUUGUUCUCACCAUUGGUCCUCCUCAAGAUGACACUUCCAGCACAGCAUCAACUUCACAUAGGAGCUCUAGAACAUCUUUGCUUCAUGUCACAGCUGUUCCAAUGCUCCCACUGACUGAUCCUGAUUUUUCACAAAGGGUUUAUGACACUCAGACUCUGCAUUCAUCCUCUUCUGUUGAUUCUCAGUACAGGGGGAGGAACACUCAACUGACCAAGAUGUUCAGUACUAUUCCGUAGAGCUUCAUCGAGGGACUCGGGGGUUUGGCUUCAGUAUCCGGGGUGGUAAAGAGUUUCAGAACAUGCCUCUCUUUGUGCUUAGGAUAGCAGAAAAUGGUCCAGCACAUCAGGAUAACAGGUUACAGGUUGGUGACCAGAUAAUUGAAAUCAAUGGAAUCAACACCAAGAAUAUGACUCAUGCAGAAGCGAUAGAACUCAUCAGACAGGGUAGCAGCAGUGUUAGAUUGCUAGUUAAGAGAGGAGGAAAGUUGCCUUCUG